This 419-nucleotide ribosomal RNA is filed under the name uncultured bacterium. RNAcentral describes it as "bacterial SSU rRNA". It matches the Rfam family "Bacterial small subunit ribosomal RNA", at positions 355 to 773 of the family's 1533-position model. The record is from RNAcentral.
UAAGGAAUAUUGCUCAAUGGGAGAUAUCCUGAAGCAGCAACGCCGCGUGGAGGAUGAAGGGUCUAUGACUUGUAAACUCCUGUAAAGAAGGAAAAAAUUCCCAUUAGAUGGGAGAUGAUGGUACUUCUGGAGUAAGCCCCGGCUAACUACGUGCCAGCAGCCGCGGUAAUACGUAGGGGGCAAGCGUUGUCCGGAUUUACUGGGUGUAAAGGGUGCUCAGGCGGAUUUGUAAGUCAGAGGUGAAAUCUUACAGCUUAACUGUGAAACUGCCUUUGAUACUGCAAGCCUAGAGUAUGGAAGAGAGUGAUGGAAUAUCUGGUGUAGCAGUGAAAUGCGUAUAUAUCAGAUAGAACACCAAUGGCGAAGGCAGUCACUUGGUCCAUUACUGACGCUAAAGCACGAAAGCGUGGGUAGCAAAC